RNAcentral lists this ribosomal RNA (362 nucleotides) under uncultured bacterium. RNAcentral's name for it is "bacterial SSU rRNA". It matches the Rfam family "Bacterial small subunit ribosomal RNA", at positions 772 to 1135 of the family's 1533-position model. The record is from RNAcentral.
ACGGAAUAGAUACCCCGGUAGUCCACGCCCUAAACGAUGAUUACUCGACAUACGCGAUACACAGUGUGUGUCUGAGCGAAAGCAUUAAGUAAUCCACCUGGGAAGUACGUCCGCAAGGAUGAAACUCAAAGGAAUUGACGGGGGUCCGCACAAGCGGUGGAGUAUGUGGUUUAAUUCGAUGAUACGCGAGGAACCUUACCUGGGCUAGAAUGCUAUCUGACUGUACCUGAAAGGGUAUUUUGUAGCAAUACACAGAUAGUAAGGUGCUGCAUGGCUGUCGUCAGCUCGUGCCGUGAGGUGUUGGGUUAAGUCCCGCAACGAGCGCAACCCCCACUCUUCAGUUGCCAGCACGUAAUGGUGGG